AUGCUCCAUGGAAAGAGACAUGGGGGAUUAUUUGUCCUGUUCCCCAGAAGAGUACAUUUAAAAGGAGGAGGAAUUUGGAUCACUAAAAGAAAAAGAAAAAAAAGAAGGAUGAAACAGUCUCAUUGUGUCACCGAGGCUGAAGUGCAGUGGCAUAAUCAUGGCUUACUGCAGCCCCUACCUCUAGGCUCAAGCAAUCCUCCCAUCUCAGCUUCCUGUGUAGCUAGGAUGGAAAUGUUCUUUUUCUUAAAGGACACAGAAAGAAGGGGAUUGUCCGCAAAUGAAAAAGAAAGACUUCACUGA
Molecule: long non-coding RNA, 300 nt
Filed under: Callithrix jacchus (white-tufted-ear marmoset)
Lineage: Eukaryota; Metazoa; Chordata; Mammalia; Primates; Cebidae
Description: lncRNA (ENSCJAG00000079701.1)
Source: RNAcentral